GCUCAGUAACACGUGGAUAAUCUACCCUUAGGACCGGGAUAACCCUGGGAAACUGGGGAUAAUACUGGAUAGGCAAUUAUUCCUGUAAUGGUUUUUUGUUUAAAUGUUUUUUCGCCUAAGGAUGAGUCUGCGGCCGAUUAGGUAGUUGGUUAGGUAAUGGCUUACCAAGCCGUUGAUCGGUACGGGUUGUGAGAGCAAGAGCCCGGAGAUGGAACCUGAGACAAGGUUCCAGGCCCUACGGGGUGCAGCAGGCGCGAAACCUCCGCAAUGUGAGAAAUCGCGACGGGGGGAUCCCAAGUGCCAUUCUUAACGGGAUGGCUUUUCAUUAGUGUAAAGAGCUUUUGGAAUAAGAGCUGGGCAAGACCGGUGCCAGCCGCCGCGGUAACACCGGCAGCUCUAGUGGUAACAAUUUUUAUUGGGCCUAAAGCGUCCGUAGCCAGUUUAAUAAGUCUCUGGUGAAAUCCUGCAGCUUAACUGUGGGAAUUGCUGGAGAUACUAUUAGACUUGAGACCGGGAGAGGUUAGAGGUACUCCCAGGGUAGAGGUGAAAUUCUGUAAUCCUGGGAGGACCGCCUGUUGCGAAGGCGUCUAACUGGAACGGUUCUGACGGUGAGGGACGAAAGUUAGGGGCGCGAACCGGAUUAGAUACCCGGGUAGUCCUAACUGUAAACGAUGCGGACUUGGUGUUGGGGUGGCUUUGAGCUGCUUCAGUGCCGAAGGGAAGCUGUUAAGUCCGCCGCCUGGGAAGUACGGUCGCAAGACUGAAACUUAAAGGAAUUGGCGGGGGAGCACCACAACGCGUGGAGCCUGCGGUUUAAUUGGAUUCAACGCCGGACAUCUCACCAGAGGCGACAGCUGUAUGAUAGCCAGGUUGAUGACUUUGCUUGACUAGCUGAGAGGAGGUGCAUGGCCGCCGUCAGCUCGUACCGUGAGACGUCCUGUUAAGUCAGGCAACGAGCGAGACCCACGCCCUUAGUUACCAGCUUAUCCUUUUUUGGAUGAUGGGCACACUAAGGGGACCGCCUAUGAUAAAUAGGAGGAAGGAGUGGACGACGGUA
Molecule: ribosomal RNA, 1057 nt
Filed under: uncultured archaeon
Lineage: Archaea
Description: bacterial SSU rRNA
Rfam family: Archaeal small subunit ribosomal RNA
Source: RNAcentral